CUCUUCGGAGUGACGUUAGSGGAUGAGCGGCGGAUGGGUGAGUAACACGUGGGCAACCUGCCUAUAAGACUGGGAUAACUUACGGAAACGUGAGCUAAUACCGGAUGAAACCUYUUAUCACCUGGUAAGAGGAUGAAAGAUGGCUUUUAGCUAUCACUUAUAGAUGGGCCCGCGGCGCAUUAGCUAGUUGGUGAGAUAAAAGCUCACCAAGGCAACGAUGCGUAGCCRACCUGAGAGGGUGAUCGGCCACACUGGGACUGAGACACGGCCCAGACUCCUACGGGAGGCAGCAGUAGGGAAUCUUCCGCAAUGGACGAAAGUCUGACGGAGCAACGCCGCGUGAACGAAGAAGGUUCUCGGAUCGUAAAGUUCUGUUGUUAGGGAAGAACACGUACCAUUCGAAUAGGGUGGUACCUUGACGGUACCUAACGAGAAAGCCCCGGCUAACUACGUGCCAGCAGCCGCGGUAAUACGUAGGGGGCAAGCGUUGUCCGGAAUUAUKGGGCGUAAAGCGCUCGCAGGCGGUUUUUUAAGUCUGAUGUGAAAUCUUGCGGCUCAACCGCAAGCGGUCAUUGGAAACUGGAGAACUUGAGGACAGAAGAGGAGAGUGGAAUUCCACGUGUAGCGGUGAAAUGCGUAGAGAUGUGGAGGAACACCAGUGGCGAAGGCGACUCUCUGGUCUGUAACUGACGCUGAGGAGCGAAAGCGUGGUAGCGAACAGGAUUAGAUACCCUGGUAGUCCACGCCGUAACGAUGAGUGCUAGGGU
Molecule: ribosomal RNA, 767 nt
Filed under: Amphibacillus sp.
Lineage: Bacteria; Bacillati; Bacillota; Bacilli; Caryophanales; Bacillaceae
Description: bacterial SSU rRNA
Source: RNAcentral